This 541-nucleotide long non-coding RNA is filed under the name Equus asinus (donkey). Its description in RNAcentral is "lncRNA (ENSEASG00005029012.1)". Lineage: Eukaryota; Metazoa; Chordata; Mammalia; Perissodactyla; Equidae. The record is from RNAcentral.
UGGAUGGCUGAAUCAUAACAGAGAUGACGGCAUUAAUCCAAGGACAGCUGUUUCUUAUCACAUCUAACACACAAGAAAGCUCGAGCCGGGCAGGAGUUUUUGCCUCAGCUGAAGAUGGGACCAAUAGGAUCUGAAGCAGAGAUGCUUCUGGACAGGUGCAAGUAGGGAAGGAGAAAGACGAACUGCCCAUGAGGGACUAAACCUUUGAUUUUUAGAACUAUAUCUGUCUGAUGUGUAAGAGUUGCUUCUGGCCCUUUGGGAUGCUCAGGAAGUUCCAGUUAUAAGGAGGCAAGGUAAGCCGCCCAGGUGCCAAGAGUUCAGGGGCACGCCAAGGAUGCUCCCCAGGGAGCUGGGAGUCGCCUCCUGAAGAAACCUCCAUGGAUGCUUGCCUGCCGCAGGUGCCCAAAGUCCACCGUUGAGGAAUGACUUCUUUGAACUCAGGCAGGAGCUUCCACCCAAGGCCCUAGGAACCACUGCAGCCCUCAUCCAGCUUCUCCUCAGCUUGGGCUGAUUCAUCUCCCCUGCUCGGAUCUAAGGUGCU